Molecule: ribosomal RNA, 385 nt
Filed under: Leptolyngbya sp. DPW6
Lineage: Bacteria; Bacillati; Cyanobacteriota; Cyanophyceae; Leptolyngbyales; Leptolyngbyaceae
Description: bacterial SSU rRNA
Rfam family: Bacterial small subunit ribosomal RNA
Source: RNAcentral
AGUGGGGAAUUUUCCGCAAUGGGCGAAAGCCUGACGGAGCAAGACCGCGUGAGGGAAGAAGGUCUGUGGAUUGUAAACCUCUUUUGAUUGGGAAGAAGCACUGACGGUACCAAUCGAAUCAGCCUCGGCUAACUCCGUGCCAGCAGCCGCGGUAAUACGGAGGAGGCAAGCGUUAUCCGGAAUUAUUGGGCGUAAAGCGUCCGUAGGUGGUUUGUCAAGUCUUCUGUCAAAGCGCGGAGCUUAACUCCGUAAAGGCAGAGGAAACUGACAGGCUAGAGUGCGAUAGGGGCAAGGGGAAUUCCCAGUGUAGCGGUGAAAUGCGUAGAUAUUGGGAAGAACACCGGUGGCGAAAGCGCCUUGCUGGGUCUGCACUGACACUGAGGGA